AAGUCCAGGCCUCAGGGCCAGAGUCCUGCAGGUUUGAGAUGAUGAUCCAUCACAGCUGAUUUAUAGGACCUCCUCAGGCCUGGACUUCC
Molecule: microRNA precursor, 89 nt
Organism: Oreochromis aureus
Lineage: Eukaryota; Metazoa; Chordata; Actinopteri; Cichliformes; Cichlidae
Source: Ensembl